Molecule: long non-coding RNA, 5876 nt
Organism: Trichechus manatus latirostris (Florida manatee)
Lineage: Eukaryota; Metazoa; Chordata; Mammalia; Sirenia; Trichechidae
Exons: 2
Source: RefSeq, a predicted model, not a curated record
GUGUACUAACUGUUUAAUGAGAAAAUAGUUGUUCUGUAAACAUUCACCUAAAGUACAAUUUAAAAAAAAAAUUAAAAAAGAGGUAGAGUCUGUUCUCCUCCCUUUGACUCUUGACUAGUCCUCUGACUUAUUGUGGCCCAUAGAAUGUGGUAGAUGUGAUGCUGUGUUACUUCAGGCAUAGACCUUUAGAGACCUUGCAGCUUCAGCUGCCAUGUGAAAGAGGCUUAAGCUAGACUACUGAGUGAGAAGCCACAUGGCAGAGAAGUAAGGCGCCCCAGCCAACAACCAUCAUCAAGACCUAGAUGUAUGAGUGAGGUCCUCUUAUAGAUCCUCUAGCCCCAGCUGAGCCAGCAUGUGCAACAUCAUGUGACUGAGCCCUGCUCAAAUUCUUGAACCACAAAAUUGUGAGCCAAUAAAAUGAUUGUUGCUUUAAGCCACUAAGUUUUGGGAUGGUUUGUUACGCAGCAUUAUAUAACUGAAAAAAUUUGAGAAUAUAAGCAAAACUUUUUACUGGGAUAGAUGAAAGGGAAAAAAUAUCCUUUACUAUAGGAUGUUAAUAAAGAACUGUAGUUAAAUAAUACUACAGUUGUAUGCUUGAGUUCAUGGUUCAUGUGGUUCAUCUGAAAAAUCACAUAGCUAUUCUUAUAAUUAUAAAAAAUAAUGCAGGCUUAAUGGAGAAAAUUUAGAAAAGGGUAGAAAAUUCUAAAGAACAGUGUUUAAAUUACUCAUACUUCUACCAUCUAGCAAUAAUCACUAUGAGUUCUGUUUUAUAUUAUUUCUAAUAUAAUCUUAUUUUAUAAAACUAUAAAAAACGUAGAGCCAUAUAUGUGGAUGUAUAAACCCGAUGUGAUUACAUUGGGGAAAGUGAAGCCUACACUGGCUCUUUGCUGUAGUCCCGGAAGUGGUACUUAAUUUCUUACAAAUUGUCGAAAGGGGCAUAGGCAGAGCUAAAACUGAUGCAAUUGUUGUUUUUCAGGCAAUUAAAAAUAAAAUUCAAAAAAUUAAAAUUUAAUGUAAUUUUUGAUGUCAUUUAUUCCUAAUGCUUUAAAAGAAUUGAAACUAAUGUCCUGGCCCUGUAAAAUCUGUUAAUAAAAUUGAUGGUCAGCUCUUUAUUUAGAAGAACCAGAGGGCAGAUGAAUGUGUUAGUGUGUUUAGAUUCCUUUAAGAGCCCUUAGUGGCCUAUCAUAUUGACUCUUCAUUAAAACACACUCAGCUGCCUUUUAAUAAACCCUCAAAUUGUUGCCAUUAUUUAGACUUCAGCUAGAAGGCUGCUUGAGUGCCCUAGUGCCUGACUGAAAUCCUAAGUUAUAUUUAGCAUCAUUAAAAAAAAAAAAAGAAGAAAUUCUGAUUGUUUUAGGACCUAUUAUUGCUUGGAAUGAGCUAAUCUAAGCAAAUAAUAUAUAGGAAAUAGAAGACUAGAGGUGAUUUUGAGGACUUUUUUUUAUUUCAACUUUUCACUGCAGCCCUGGUAGUGCAGUGGUUAAGAGCUAUGGUUGCUAACCAAAAGGUUAGCAGUUCGAAUCCACCAGCCUCUCCUUGGAAACCCUGUGGGGCAGUUCUACUCUGUCCAGUAGGGUUGCUAUAAGUCAGAACCGACUUGACGGACAACAGAUUUGGUUUGAUUUUUUGGAAUACCCAGUGAGCAGACACACUAGAGCAGCAAUUCUCAACCCAGUUGACCUGAUAUCUCCUUUUUUGUAGAACAUAUAUAUUGUAAUCUCCUUUACUACCUUGAUGUGAAGUUCAUAGAUUACAUAAACUAUAUACACAUAUAAUUUUUUUUUUAAAAAACGAAUAUAAUGGCCUAACUAUAACAUAAAAGAGAAAUAUAAGGGAAGUAAUUUCCAAUAGGAAUUUCUGGGUAGUACAAACAGUUAAGGUGCUUGGCUGCUAACUGACAAGUUGGAGGUUCAAGUCCACCCCGAGGCACCUUGGAAGAAAGGCCUGGUGAUCUACAUCUAGAAAAUCUGCCAUUGAAAACUCUAUGGAGCACGGUUCUACUCUUAUAACACGUGGGGUCACCAUGAGUCGGAAUCGACUUGAUGACAACUGGUUAUUUGCAACAAAAUAAUGUACUUUUUAUUCUGGUUCUAGUAAUGGCAGAGUAGCUUGUGUCAAACUAACCCUCCCACAGAUAACAGUUAUAAACUCUGGUUUAAAUCUUUAUUCCCACCGCAUACACACACACAAACACAAACGUGUUAUCCUUUGUGUGGAAGUUAGGGGUCUGUAACAUGGAAAUGAUAGUCCUGAAUUGCUUGGUUGCUUGCUUAGUUCAAGUCUCUGCUAAAAAGAGGUCUUUCCUGACUGACUCCCUGAUACAAACGAGCAAACCUCCUAAUGCCCUGUACUUCUCAACCUUUUCAACUAAGACCUUUCCUCCUGUAGCUCUUAGUACUGUUUGAUAUUACAUGUAUAUUUUUUAUUGUCUCUUCUCCCACUAAAACAGAAGCUCCAUGAGGGUAAGGAAUGUUCCUCUUUUGUUCAUCACUCAGCACCUAGAACAGUGCCUGGAAUAUAGUAGGUGCUCAAUAAAUUUCAGUUGAACAACUGUCUUAGCUGGUGCUGCUGUAACAGAAAUACCACAAGUGGAUGACUUUCAAGAAGAGAAAUUUAUUGUCUCAUGGUUCAGGAGGCUAGAAGUCUGAAUUCAGGGCCCCGGCUCUAGGGGAAGGCUCUCUGUCUGCUUUGGGGGAAGAUCCUUGUCUCUGUUAGCUUCUGUAGCCUCUGUGUUCCUUGGCAAUCUUCAUGUGGUGUCUAUCCCCCCCAUCCCCUUUGUGCUUCAUCUGUGUCUGUUGUUGCAGUUGAGUCCUCUCUAUCUAAUCUACUCUUUUUAUAACUCAGAGGUGAUUAGGUUUAAGACACACCCUACAUUGGUACGUCCUCAUUAACAUAAUAAAGAAAACCGUUUUCCCGAAAGGGAUUGUACCCACAGGUGUAGGGGUUAGGUGCCUUCUAGUCGAUUUCAAUUCAUAGCAACCCUGUGUAACAGAGUAGAGCUCACCAUAAGGGUUUUUUAGGCUGUAAUCUUCAUGGGAACAGAUCGCCAGGUCUUUCUCCCGUGGAGCCACUGGGUGGGUUUGAACCACCAACCUUUUGGUUAGCAGCCACCAGGGCUCCUUAACACAUAUUUUUUGGGGGCACAAUUCAAUCCAUAAUGAAAUGAAUCCUCUAUUUCUUCCUCUUGUUCUAUCAUUCCUCAGCAGAAAGGGCCUGUGAAUAGCUGAAGUGUGGGCAACAGUCAAAAAAUGUCUCCCUCAUCAGGCCAUCAUUGAGCCCAAAAAUUCCCUCUGAUUAGUCUCUUUCCCUUGUUCCUCUAGAUUAGAAAGUCUCUUUUGAAGUGAAAUGAUGUAUUAGAUGAAGAGACUCACCACCUGUAACUUUUUCCUGUCACAUUCAGGUUUUUAGACUACCCCUCUUGAUCUGGCAAUAUGUAUAUUAAAUGCCAUUUCAUUCAAGCAGUGAGGCGGAAAGCUGAGCGAUUAUCAACUUGGAUGUCAUUUAAAGAUUCUGAUUCAGGACUAAUUGCUGCUUGACCUCUUGGAGUGAUCACACUUAUUACUGUUAUAUCAUAUUCAAUACUUUGAGUUGUUUUUGUAACCCUUAAAAUUUCUAAUUAGAAGUAUUUCUCUAAAAUGAGAUACUGUGGUGUGAAAUUUUGUUGCCACACAUUCAAAGUAAGUCAAAACCUUGAAAGUCUAAUCCUGAAAAUAUCGACAAAAGAAGUUUUUAGAAAACAUUCUCCCCCUGGGGUAAGAGUAUUUUUACAUUUUAUUCAUAGAUGAUUUUUUAGAAAAAAUUACGCAUUUCUUUUCCUGUCUAUACUUCUGGCGCCAUGUAUUUCUGUAGUAGUGACAUCAGUAGGGUUUGUAGCCCCCCCAAAAAUAGGUAGAUCCCAUUUCUAAGUCCAGCUGAAAAUGAUUUCUCAAUAGCGCCAGCUUACAUCCAUCACGAACAUACACAUACACACCCCAAACAUAUUAUAUCUGAAAUUUAGCAUGAUUGCACCUGUUAAAGCUGAUAUUGUUAAUAACAGUAUUCUCAUCUGUUCUCUCUUAUUCCAUGCCUGGACAUGAUGGGCUUUUAAGCUUUUCAGGUGGGCAGACCAACUAUACUUCCUGCCUUUCAAAGAGUCACAUGUGAUAGAGAACACAUUUCCAAAAUUCAAGCCAUAUAUCAGAUCCUUGUUUUCUUUGGUCAGGCAUAUUCUUUUAGAAUACAUUUAUAUUAAGAAUAAAGACACUUAUGUUACCAUCUAAAUUAGUUUUUUUCUUGUCAAAACAGUCUUUCUUUUAAUGAAACGGUUCUUUGUCUUUUGAGGGGAAGCAAUGAGAGAUUAAAGGCAUUCUUUUGGAGAUCUUUCAGGUGAAGAGAAGAAUCUGGAAUUGCUCUUGGAUGAAUUAUUAUAGACCUACAAAAGUCAAAAGUAAAUUUUAAGAAGUUUUUUAAAAAGGCAAAUAUUAGUCCCUUGAAACAUGGAGAUGUUGACAGAUGACUGGUAUUUUGUACCUAAAAAUCGUUCGCUGUGCUAAGUUAUCUGGGAUUCAUAUUCACUUUUUCUAGAGGUGAGUGUAUCUUAUUACAGACGGCAGGAAGCAUUGUAUCGCCAACAGAGUUGUCUUCACCAGUAGGCACUGAUGGGAUUGAUGCUUAUGAAAGUGUUGUAUACCAUCUCUUUGGAGGCAUGAGUUGUGGGAAGUAACGAACAGAUGUUUGAUGUGUCAAUCAGAGUAUUAGGUGCUGGGACAGAUACAAAGCAAACUAAAACAUGGCUCUGGACCCAAAGUACACAUUAAAAGGUCAACACUUCUUGGCAUGGUUGGGAACCAGAGGCUGCUUAAACAAGCUCAGCAAAUUUAAACCUAAUUGAAAAGUCAUUUAGGACUUUUUUUUUUUUUAAUUGAUUUUGCAAGCUACAGAACAUAACUCAAUCUGGCUUAAUCAAAAAGAGAAAUUAUUGACUCAUGUAUCCAAAAAUCUAGAUGUAAUUUGGUCUAAAAGCUCAAAUGGUUUACCAUUAGCUGUUGUUUUUUUUUUUUCCUUUUUCUCUCAACUCAACUUUCUUUGUGUUCACAUUAUCUUUACUCUUGUGGUGGCAAGAUGGCCUCAACAGCUACAGCUUUACAUUUUCCAUCUUUGAGUCCAGCAGGAAAAUGUCUCUUCCUCUAACAGUAUGAAUAAAAGUCUUGGGCCUGAUUGUCACUGGCCCAUAGUGGGUCCUGUGUUUGUCCCUGGAGCAAUUGCCACGUCCAGGGGAAUGGAAAGUGCUUAUUGCUUGGGGACUGUUUAUAUGUUCCACUUCUGGGACAGGGCUAGGAAUCAGAGAGGGGCUUUCCCCAGGUGAGAAUACUGGGCACUAUCACCAGAUGUAGCUGAAUAGAGGCUGAGCAGCAAGAACAGCAGGUGUAUGUCGCAGGUAAAUAGGACUAAUACCAGAGGGUAUUAUUACUUGACAUUAAACAGUUAAGAAGUAGUUAUAUGAUUAUGUCAUUAAAUGUACUUUAGGAAUUGAGAGAAGGACAUAAGUGAGGGCUGGAGUGAUUUGGGCAUUGAAACUUCAUUGAGCACAGAUGGAUAUGAACUUGGCCUUUAAGGAUGGGUAGGAUUCUUAGUUGGAUUCUCCCAAGAUACCAGUGAGGAAUGCCUAGUUUUGUCAGAAUUGAUGAUGUCCACUCCAGCCCUUUGUGACUAUCUGGUGGAAUGAUGCAACGGUAUAUAAUAGAGGUGACCCUUAAGGCUGACACAAGGAACACAGAACUUGAACAAAUUGUAGAUGUGACAAAAAGCUUGGGAGUCAUUCAGCAAUAGUAAAAAAUAAAUAAAUUAUGGUACAGAUACAUGUUAGACUCUUUCUAGCCUGUUAGCCAUAUCUUCAU